RNAcentral lists this ribosomal RNA (485 nucleotides) under uncultured bacterium. RNAcentral describes it as "bacterial SSU rRNA". It matches the Rfam family "Bacterial small subunit ribosomal RNA", at positions 501 to 987 of the family's 1533-position model. The record is from RNAcentral.
CUACGUGCCAGCAGCCGCGGUAAUACGUAGGUGGCAAGCGUUGUCCGGAAUUAUUGGGCGUAAAGCGCGCGCAGGUGGUUUAAUAAGUCUGAUGUGAAAGCCCACGGCUCAACCGUGGAGGGUCAUUGGAAACUGUUAAACUUGAGUGCAGGAGAGAAAAGUGGAAUUCCUAGUGUAGCGGUGAAAUGCGUAGAGAUUAGGAGGAAUACCGAAGGCGAAGGCAGCCCCUUGGGAAUGUACUGACGCUCAUGUGCGAAAGCGUGGGGAGCAAACAGGAUUAGAUACCCUGGUAGUCCACGCUGUAAACGAUGUCGAUUUGGGGGUUGAACUUUGAGUUUGGCGCCCGUAGCUAACGUGAUAAAUCGACCGCCUGGGGAGUACGGCCGCAAGGUUAAAACUCAAAUGAAUUGACGGGGGCCCGCACAAGCGGUGGAGCAUGUGGUUUAAUUCGAUGCAACGCGAAGAACCUUACCUGGUCUUGACAU